UACGUAGGGGGCAAGCGUUGUCCGGAAUCAUUGGGCGUAAAGAGCGUGUAGGCGGCUCGGUAAGUCCGCUGUGAAAGUCCAGGGCUCAACCCUGGAAAGCCGGUGGAAACUGUCGAGCUUGAGUCCGGAAGAGGCGAGUGGAAUUCCUGGUGUAGCGGUGAAAUGCGCAGAUAUCAGGAGGAACACCAAGGGCGAAGGCAGCUCGCUGGGACGGUACUGACGCUGAGACGCGAAAGCGUGGGGAGCAAACAGG
Molecule: ribosomal RNA, 253 nt
Filed under: uncultured bacterium
Lineage: Bacteria
Description: partial 16S ribosomal RNA
Rfam family: Bacterial small subunit ribosomal RNA
Source: RNAcentral